RNAcentral lists this signal recognition particle RNA (99 nucleotides) under Lysobacter sp. Its description in RNAcentral is "signal recognition particle sRNA small type". It matches the Rfam family "Bacterial small signal recognition particle RNA". From Rfam's summary of the family: The signal recognition particle (SRP) is a universally conserved ribonucleoprotein involved in the co-translational targeting of proteins to membranes. Archaeal SRP consists of a 7S RNA and homologues of the eukaryotic SRP19 and SRP54 proteins. RNAcentral also lists the same sequence under 3 other names. Lineage: Bacteria; Pseudomonadati; Pseudomonadota; Gammaproteobacteria; Lysobacterales; Lysobacteraceae. The record is from RNAcentral.
GGCGGGCCUCCCCGCAUUGAAGGGCGGCGAACCUGGUCAGGUCGGGAACGAAGCAGCCAUAGUCGAUUCCUUCAAGUGCCGGGGGUCAGGCUCGCCUUU